Molecule: ribosomal RNA, 432 nt
Filed under: uncultured bacterium
Lineage: Bacteria
Description: bacterial SSU rRNA
Rfam family: Bacterial small subunit ribosomal RNA
Source: RNAcentral
ACUCCUACGGGAGGCAGCAGUGGGGAAUAUUGCACAAUGGGGGAAACCCUGAUGCAGCCAUGCCGCGUGUGUGAAGAAGGCCUUGGGUUGUAAAGCACUUUCAGUAGGGAGGAAGGUAGUGUAGUUAACACCUGCAUUAUUUGACGUUACCUACAGAAGAAGCACCGGCUAACUCCGUGCCAGCAGCCGCGGUAAUACGGAGGGUGCGAGCGUUAAUCGGAAUUACUGGGCGUAAAGCGCAUGCAGGCGGCCUGUUAAGUCAGAUGUGAAAGCCCGGGGCUUAACCUCGGAAUUGCAUUUGAAACUGGCAGGCUAGAGUCUUGUAGAGGGGUUAGAAUUUCGAGGUGUAGCGGUGAAAUGCGUAGAGAUCUGAAGGAAUACCAGUGGCGAAGGCGGCCCCUGGACAAAGCUGACGCUCAGAUGCGAAAGCGU